UAAAACAACAAAACAUGUCACGGAAGAAAUCAUAUUUUCCAGAGUGAAGUGGAGGAAUCAGAUGUGACUGUCUGUGGGACACGAACUAACCUGGGAGAGGCGACCCUAUUUCCUGAUUUAGGCUUUUCCCUGGUCAAUCUCCCACUGUGACCUCAGAGACCAUAAAUGAUCUUUGUUUUCUUCAGAGAAGAACAAGGAGGUAGUUGAUUUAGAGGCUGCUGGACUGGUCCAAUUUUCAGAACAAGUGAUUUAUUGUGGAUCUUCCAGAAUUGCUCUUUUAAUAAGUUUUCUUUUGUUUUUAAGGAAGAGCCAUGAUAAGUGGGAUUUCUGGUCCUCUGACCAAGCAGAUGAAAAUUACCAAAGGACAAGCAACACCGGCUUUCCGAAUCCCACUUCUGCCCAGAAGAAGAAGAAGAAGAAAAUUGGAUUCUGCUGAAAUCUAAGAAGGACACAGAGCUGCAGUGUUGUUUUGUUCCCGUUGAAGGGGAAUGUGUCCAGAGUAAGAAGGAGGAGAAGAAGCAGCUCCAAAAUUUCCAUCCCAUAUUCAAACCAGAAUGCCAGAAUCUUCACAAGAUUGUAUUGCAAGGUGAACUUCAUCAAUCAGUUGGAAGCCUUAAGAGCAAAGACAGGUUUCCCAAAGAAGGAAUUGAGCUUCACAGCUGCAACACAGAAAUUCUGCCCAAGGUUCCAACAUACCUGGCCUGCCCUGUAGAAUUCGCACUCAAGAUUGCAACACCGACUCUUAGCUGAAUAUCCAGCCUGCCAGUCUGCCCUGCAAAUUUCAAACUUUCCAACCCCCAUAAUCACUUGAGCAUAAAAUAAAAUAAAAUGUCUGAAAAUAAAAUAGAAUUCCUUAAAAUAAAAUAAGAUAUUGGUUCUUUUUCUUUGGAGAACUCUAAUACAAACAGGAAGAUAAAUCUUCUCUCCUCAUCCAUUAAGUCAUA
RNAcentral lists this long non-coding RNA (944 nucleotides) under Mustela putorius furo (domestic ferret). RNAcentral describes it as "lncRNA (ENSMPUG00000030166.1)". The record is from RNAcentral. Lineage: Eukaryota; Metazoa; Chordata; Mammalia; Carnivora; Mustelidae.